GAUGAACGCUGGCGGCGUGCCUAAUACAUGCAAGUCGAGCGAACGGACGAGAAGCUUGCUUCUCUGAUGUUAGCGGCGGACGGGUGAGUAACACGUGGAUAACCUACCUAUAAGACUGGGAUAACUUCGGGAAACCGGAGCUAAUACCGGAUGAUAUUUUGAACCGCAUGGUUCAAAAGUGAAAGACGGUCUUGCUGUCACUUAUAGAUGGAUCCGCGCUGCAUUAGCUAGUUGGUAAGGUAACGGCUUACCAAGGCAACGAUGCAUAGCCGACCUGAGAGGGUGAUUGGCCACACUGGAACUGAGACACGGUCCAGACUCCUACGGGAGGCAGCAGUAGGGAAUCUUCCGCAAUGGGCGAAAGCCUGACGGAGCAACGCCGCGUGAGUGAUGAAGGUCCUCGGAUCGUAAAACUCUGUUAUUAGGGAAGAACAUAUGUGUAAGUAACUGUGCACAUCUUGACGGUACCUAAUCAGAAAGCCACGGCUAACUACGUG
This 497-nucleotide ribosomal RNA is filed under the name uncultured bacterium. RNAcentral's name for it is "partial 16S ribosomal RNA". It matches the Rfam family "Bacterial small subunit ribosomal RNA", at positions 28 to 507 of the family's 1533-position model. The record is from RNAcentral.